RNAcentral lists this ribosomal RNA (854 nucleotides) under uncultured Planctomycetota bacterium. Its description in RNAcentral is "bacterial SSU rRNA". It matches the Rfam family "Bacterial small subunit ribosomal RNA", at positions 8 to 878 of the family's 1533-position model. The record is from RNAcentral. Lineage: Bacteria; Pseudomonadati; Planctomycetota.
AGAGUUUGAUCCUGGCUCAGAAUGAACGUUGGCGGCGUGGAUUAGGCAUGCAAGUCGAGCGCGAUAUUUUUGAAAGAUACUUCGGUUGAUUUCUUAAAUGGAAAGCGGCGAAAGGGAGAGUAACGAGUAGAUACGUACCCAGGGGUCCGGGAUAGCCAUGCGAAAGCGUGAGUAAUACCGGAUAAUGUCUCCGGACCAAAUAUUUAUAGCCCUUGGAGCGGUCUGCUUACUAUUAGCUUGUUGGUGGGGUAAAGGCCUACCAAGGCGAAGAUGGUUAGCGGGUGUGAGAGCAUGGCCCGUCUCACUGGGACUGAGACACUGCCCAGACAUCUACGGAUGGCUGCAGUCGAGAAUCUUCCGCAAUGGACGAAAGUCUGACGGAGCGACGCCGCGUGAUGGACGAAGGCCCUCGGGUUGUAAACAUCUGUCGUAGGGGAGGAAAUUUUGACCGAUCCUAGGAGGAAGCACAGGCUAAGUUCGUGCCAGCAGCCGCGGUAAUACGAACUGUGCAAACGUUAUUCGGAAUCACUGGGCUUAAAGGGUGCGUAGGCGGGUUAGUAGGUCAGAUGUGAAAUCCCACGGCUCAACCGUGGAACUGCGUUUGAAACCACUAGUCUUGAGGGGAUCAGAGGAGAGCGGAACUGAUGGUGGAGCGGUGAAAUGCGUUGAUAUUAUCAGGAACACCGGUGGCGAAGGCGGCUCUCUGGGAUCUUUCUGACGCUGAGGCACGAAAGCUAGGGGAGCGAACGGGAUUAGAUACCCCGGUAGUCCUAGCUGUAAACGAUCUGUACUAGUCCGUGGGGACCCCCACAUCUUCUCGGACGUAGCGAAAGCGUUAAGUACAGCGCCUGGGG